Molecule: ribosomal RNA, 417 nt
Filed under: Klebsiella pneumoniae
Lineage: Bacteria; Pseudomonadati; Pseudomonadota; Gammaproteobacteria; Enterobacterales; Enterobacteriaceae
Description: bacterial SSU rRNA
Rfam family: Bacterial small subunit ribosomal RNA
Source: RNAcentral
CCGGCCGGGAACUCAAAGGAGACUGCCAGUGAUAAACUGGAGGAAGGUGGGGAUGACGUCAAGUCAUCAUGGCCCUUACGACCAGGGCUACACACGUGCUACAAUGGCAUAUACAAAGAGAAGCGACCUCGCGAGAGCAAGCGGACCUCAUAAAGUAUGUCGUAGUCCGGAUUGGAGUCUGCAACUCGACUCCAUGAAGUCGGAAUCGCUAGUAAUCGUAGAUCAGAAUGCUACGGUGAAUACGUUCCCGGGCCUUGUACACACCGCCCGUCACACCAUGGGAGUGGGUUGCAAAAGAAGUAGGUAGCUUAACCUUCGGGAGGGCGCUUACCACUUUGUGAUUCAUGACUGGGGUGAAGUCGUAACAAGGUAACCGUAGGGGAACCUGCGGUUGGAUCACCUCCUUACCUUAAAGAA